UACGUAAGGUCCGAGCGUUGUCCGGAAUCAUUGGGCGUAAAGGGUACGUAGGCGGAUCAGCAAGUUAGAAGUGGAAUCCUAUAGCUCAACUAUAGUAAGCUUUUAAAACUGCUCAUCUUGAGGUAUGGAAGGGAGAGUGGAAUUCCGAGUGUAGCGGUCAAAUGCGUAGAUAUUAGGAGGAACACCAGUGGCGAAGGCGGCUUUCUGGACGUUUUCUGACGCUGAGGUACGAAAGCGUGGGUAGCAAACAGG
This 252-nucleotide ribosomal RNA is filed under the name uncultured bacterium. RNAcentral describes it as "partial 16S ribosomal RNA". It matches the Rfam family "Bacterial small subunit ribosomal RNA", at positions 524 to 776 of the family's 1533-position model. The record is from RNAcentral.